RNAcentral lists this unclassified non-coding RNA (323 nucleotides) under Vibrio cincinnatiensis DSM 19608. The record is from RNAcentral. Lineage: Bacteria; Pseudomonadati; Pseudomonadota; Gammaproteobacteria; Vibrionales; Vibrionaceae.
AAGACCCAGGGAUAGGUCAUCUUCAGGAAGAAGAUUCGAUGAUUCAGGAUGAAGAAUCGGCACGGAAAGCGAAGGACAUUAGCUGGACGCGAUUAACUAGGAUGGUUAACUACGGAAAAUUAAUGGACACCUUAAUGGAAUAAGGCACAUCUGUCAGGAAGACGGAAGUAGGGACACCGCUAGGAAGGCGAUGAAACGGAUUGUGCUAAAGGAUAUAGCAGACUAUCAAGGAAUAGAUGCAGGGAGCACCUAUUAGUAGCCGGAUUGCUGCGAGCAAGAACAGAACCCCACUAAGCGUAAGCUUGGUGGGGUUUUCUUUAUUU